This 256-nucleotide ribosomal RNA is filed under the name uncultured prokaryote. RNAcentral's name for it is "partial 16S ribosomal RNA". It matches the Rfam family "Bacterial small subunit ribosomal RNA", at positions 522 to 777 of the family's 1533-position model. The record is from RNAcentral.
AAUACGAAGGGGACUAGCGUUGUACGGAAUUACUGGGCGUAAAGCGCACGUAGGCGGAUUUGUAAGUCAGGGGUGAAAUCCCGGGGCUCAACCUCGGAACUGCCUUUGAUACUGCAAAUCCCGAGUCCGAUAGAGGUGGGUGGAAUUCCUAGUGUAGAGGUGAAAUUCGUAGAUAUUAGGAAGAACACCGGUGGCGAAGGCGGCCCACUGGAUCGGUACUGACGCUGAGGUGCGAAAGCGUGGGGAGCAAACAGGA